GAGUACAACGCGCUACAGUAGUCACUGCUAUAUUUACAUGCAUAUAAUUUAACCUAUUGAUUACCUUCCUAUUCUAUAACUUCUGAAGAAACAACUUUGGUGGUCUUAUAUAGAUGACUGUUCUGCCAGUUUGAACCUGCUAGAGUUAGGAUAACAAUCAAGAAAUAGUUUAAAAAUGAGUGCUUUUUUGUGGGUAUUUGGUGUAGGAUUUGUUAGUAUGCAUGUUGGUUGGUAUGUUAUGCAAAAGCAUUAUGUACCAGAUAAUGAAAGACAGUACCAUCCUUUUGUAAAAUUGUAUCAUCGUUACAUGAAAUCUAAAUCUAUUGAGGAUUAAAGCUUUACAGUUAUUUACAAUAUACAUUGUUCCCAAUGAAUUUAUAUUGAAAAGAAUAUGAUUUGUAAUGAAAGUAGUGUUAUUUGUAUUUCUAUUUGUGGAAUAAAAUGUUGAGUGUUGUA
Osmia bicornis bicornis is the source of this 456-nucleotide long non-coding RNA. RefSeq lists it as uncharacterized. The transcript is spliced from 2 exons. The record is from RefSeq and is a predicted model, not a curated record. Lineage: Eukaryota; Metazoa; Arthropoda; Insecta; Hymenoptera; Megachilidae.